CUCCCCGCUCAGGGUUUGGGGCCCCCAUGCCGGGCUCUCGAGCUCCGCUGCCGGCACGGGGGGCGCGGAGCCGGAGCGCGUCCCGCCUGCACCUGCGUCAUGGGGGCCGGGGCGCGCAGGUGUUCUGGCUGAGGCCGCCGCCGUCGGGGCUGUGCGCCCCAGGUGGCUGCCGCAGGCCUGCGCAGGUGCCCUCCCGCCCUGCCUCUCCCGCGGCUCCCACAGGCCGCCUGGCUCCGGCCGGUCCUCGAGGAACCCCUUGCGGCUGCAUGCCCGGGACAGCUGGCCUUGGCCAACGCCUGUGGGCGGCCGAGGACCGCGAGCUGCACCGCCUGAGCCCCAGGGUGCCGAUCCCGGGGGCCGCGGGAGCUCUGGCCUGAAGUCCUUAGCACUGGACUCGCAUCCCGACUGCCCUAUGUGACCUUGGGCAGGUGACUUAAUGCCACUGAACCCUUGGCUUCUUCAUCGGAGAAUAGGAGACGACUCCACCCUGAAAGCAUUGCUGUGAGGUAUCAGAACGCUUGUUGACGCGGAAGAGGAAAAAAGGAAGCGAAGACUGAUAUCGAGGCGGAUUUUGGCUUUCAUGUCCUCUUCUGACCCUCAGCUGAGGGCAGGAGCUACAACCUGCAUCUUUAGAGCAUCAGCACUCAGGUGGAGGCCUCAGCAGAAGCCAUUCCCUCUUUCUAUGUUUCAUUUCCACUGCUUGCAAGAAUGAACGCCUCAAUCCACCUCUGCUUUCCUUGACGUGCCUUACAUUUCCUAGCCGUCUCCUUUCACCGGGGAAAUUCACCAGGAAGUGCCCCAUGUGCCCACCGGCACAGACUUAAACCUGUCCCACCUGCUAGUCACUUAGAAAGGAUUCACCUGCCGCUCCUACCAUAGUGUUUCCUAGGGCCAGGGCUCUCUGACAACACAACACAGUAGGACAAAAUACCUAGCAUGCAACCUUCUCUCAACAAAAGAGCUGAACGAGAUCUUACUUAGGCAAGGCAGGGAAAGGAAUAUGGUGAAACAUGGCAAGGUCUCUCUUCCCAGUGGACUUACCUUCUGGUUGGAAGAACAAGACUCAUUCAUAAAAAAAAACACACAAAAAACUGACAAGGGCAAGAGAGAGGCUGCUUUGGGAAAUGGGGUCAUGGUCUCUACAGAGCAAGGACCUUGGUGAUAACAGAACACCUGGCCUCUGCAGACCUCCCCUGGCUCUUUUCCACUUGUGCAACCCCAGCCCCGAACAACGAAGACCAAAAGAGAUUUUAGCUUCGGCAAAACCCUAAACGUCUUUGACUUUCAGGUUCAGAUGCUUCAUUUGUAAAAGUGGGAUAACUUCAGAUUGUGAGGACCAGAUGAAUUUAGGAAUGUGUAUAGACAUGGCAAAGCACUGUAAGCAGCUAUCUGGAUUCUUAUUUUAUUCGUUUGUAGUAGUGUGUGUAGUGCAUCAUGCUGCAUUUAUUUGUGCACAUUUCCAUCUUACUACAUAGCAAACUUGAAGGUCUGGGGAAAAGCCAUCUUCCCUGAGCAAGUGGAAGGGGAGUAAUUAAACAAAUCAGGACCCUGCGAGCAAAGAAGAAGUGGAGGCAAGGGGCAGGUAAGGCUGUUGGGUAGGUCUGCUGCACACAUUAGCACGUCCCACUACUUUGAACCCAGCCACCUCCCACCGUCCCCACUCUAGUCCAAGCCCCACCCCCCAUUUCUGGAUGCCUACAGUAGCCUCCUAACCAGUUUUCUGCUUCUGCUCUUGAACCCCUAUAAUGCAGUCUCCACACAGCAGCUGUAAUAAUCUCUCUAAAACACAACGUAGGCAAUGAUGCUUGCUUAACCCUGCUAUUGCACCUGUAAUAAAAGCUGUUCUCCUUCCAAGUCCCUUUAGCUCUGUGAUCUCAUCUUGUAUAGCUCUCCCCUUCUCUCACUCUGUUUCCUUGAACACAUGGGGCUCACUCCUACCUAUGGACCUUUGCACUCACUAUUUUCUCUGCCUGGAGCGCUCUAUCCAGAUCCCGCAUGGCUAACACCCUGUCAUGCCCUCUCAGCUCCAGUGUCACCUUCUUAGAGAGCCGCUCCUUCUCAGCAGCAGCCCCCACCUCCCAUCUCUUUUGGGGCCAUUGUCCGGUUUUGUUUUCUCACGUGCAAUGGCUCUCUGAGAUCGUCUUCUUAAUUUGUUAUGUGUUUGCCCAUGAAAAUGUCAGCUCCUUAAGAGCACAGACUCUUUUUGUCCACCACUGUAACCCUGGCAUCCGCUACAGUGCUUGGCACAUAGUGGACACUCAAUAAAUAUUUGUUGAAGGAA
Molecule: long non-coding RNA, 2281 nt
Organism: Myotis myotis
Lineage: Eukaryota; Metazoa; Chordata; Mammalia; Chiroptera; Vespertilionidae
Exons: 2
Source: RefSeq, a predicted model, not a curated record